CACGUAGUUAGCCGUGGCUUAUUCAAGAGGUACCGUCUUCUGCUCUUCCCUCUUAAAAGAAGUUUGCAACCCGAAAGCCUUCUUCCUUCACGCGGCGUUGCUGGGUCAGGCUUGCGCCCAUUGCCCAAUAUUCCCCACUGCUGCCUCCCGUAGGAGUCUGGGCCGUAUCUCAGUCCCAAUGUGGCCGGUCAACCUCUCAGUCCGGCUACUGAUCGUCGCCUAGGUGGGCCGUUACCCCGCCUACUAGCUAAUCAGACGCGAGGCCAUCUUCCAGCGAUAAAUCUUUGACAUUCAAACCAUGCGAUUCAAAUGUGUCAUGCGGUAUUAGCAGUCGUUUCCAACUGUUGUCCCCCUCUGGAAGGCAGGUUCCUCACGCGUUACUCACCAGUCCGCCACUAAGCAUUCCUCUCCAUUGUCCGAAAACUCUUUCAAGGUGCUCGUUCGACUUGCAUGUGUUAAGCACGCCGCCAGCGUUCGUCCUGAGCCAAGAUCAAACUACU
This 500-nucleotide ribosomal RNA is filed under the name uncultured Oscillibacter sp. RNAcentral describes it as "partial 16S ribosomal RNA". The record is from RNAcentral. Lineage: Bacteria; Bacillati; Bacillota; Clostridia; Eubacteriales; Oscillospiraceae.